CAGUCGCCGCGGUAAUACGUAGGGUCCAAGCGUUAAUCGGAAUUACUGGGCGUAAAGCGUGCGCAGGCGGUUGUGCAAGACCGAUGUGAAAUCCCCGGGCUCGACCUGGGAACUGCAUUUGUGACUGUAGAGCUGGAGUGCGGCAGAGGGGGAUGGAAUUCCGCGUGUAGCAGUGAAAUGCGUAGAUAUGCGGAGGAACACCGAUGGCGAAGGCGACUCUCUGGUCUGUAACUGACGCUGAGGAGCGAGAGCGUGGGGAGCGAACAGGAUUAGAGACCCCUGUAGUCCCUGUCUCUUAUAC
RNAcentral lists this ribosomal RNA (301 nucleotides) under uncultured bacterium. RNAcentral describes it as "partial 16S ribosomal RNA". It matches the Rfam family "Bacterial small subunit ribosomal RNA", at positions 509 to 807 of the family's 1533-position model. The record is from RNAcentral.